This 749-nucleotide ribosomal RNA is filed under the name Salmonella enterica. RNAcentral's name for it is "partial 23S ribosomal RNA". It matches the Rfam family "Bacterial large subunit ribosomal RNA", at positions 1 to 792 of the family's 2925-position model. Lineage: Bacteria; Pseudomonadati; Pseudomonadota; Gammaproteobacteria; Enterobacterales; Enterobacteriaceae. The record is from RNAcentral.
GGUUAAGCGACUAAGCGUACACGGUGGAUGCCCUGGCAGUCAGAGGCGAUGAAGGACGUGCUAAUCUGCGAUAAGCGCCGGUAAGGUGAUAUGAACCGUUAUAACCGGCGAUUUCCGAAUGGGGAAACCCAGUGUGACUCGUCACACUAUCAUUAACUGAAUCCAUAGGUUAAUGAGGCGAACCGGGGGAACUGAAACAUCUAAGUACCCCGAGGAAAAGAAAUCAACCGAGAUUCCCCCAGUAGCGGCGAGCGAACGGGGAGGAGCCCAGAGCCUGAAUCAGCAUGUGUGUUAGUGGAAGCGUCUGGAAAGGCGCGCGAUACAGGGUGACAGCCCCGUACACAAAAGCGCAUGUGCUGUGAGCUCGAUGAGUAGGGCGGGACACGUGGUAUCCUGUCUGAAUAUGGGGGGACCAUCCUCCAAGGCUAAAUACUCCUGACUGACCGAUAGUGAACCAGUACCGUGAGGGAAAGGCGAAAAGAACCCCGGCGAGGGGAGUGAAAAAGAACCUGAAACCGUGUACGUACAAGCAGUGGGAGCACCCUUUGGGGUGUGACUGCGUACCUUUUGUAUAAUGGGUCAGCGACUUAUAUUCUGUAGCAAGGUUAACCGAAUAGGGGAGCCGGAGGGAAACCGAGUCUUAAUUGGGCGUUAAGUUGCAGGGUAUAGACCCGAAACCCGGUGAUCUAGCCAUGGGCAGGUUGAAGGUUGGGUAACACUAACUGGAGGACCGAACCGACUAAUGUUGA